This 73-nucleotide transfer RNA is filed under the name Candidatus Omnitrophota bacterium. RNAcentral describes it as "tRNA-Gly". It matches the Rfam family "tRNA". From Rfam's summary of the family: Transfer RNA (tRNA) molecules are approximately 80 nucleotides in length. Their secondary structure includes four short double-helical elements and three loops (D, anti-codon, and T loops). The record is from RNAcentral. Lineage: Bacteria; Pseudomonadati; Candidatus Omnitrophota.
GCGGGAGUGGCUCAGUUGGUAGAGCGUAACCUUGCCAAGGUUAAAGUCGCGGGUUCGAACCCCGUCUCCCGCU